GUGAGGAAUAUUGGUCAAUGGGCGAGAGCCUGAACCAACCAAGUGGCGUGAAGGAAGAAGGAUCUAUGGUUCGUAAACUUCUUUUGCAGGGGAAUAAAGUGCAGGACGUGUCCUGUUUUGUAUGUACCCUGAGAAUAAGGAUCGGCUAACUCCGUGCCAGCAGCCGCGGUAAUACGGAGGAUCCGAGCGUUAUCCGGAUUUAUUGGGUUUAAAGGGUGCGUAGGUGGUUUGAUAAGUCAGCGGUGAAAGUUUGCAGCUUAACUGUAAAAAUGCCGUUGAAACUGUCGGACUUGAGUGUAAAUGAGGUAGGCGGAAUGCGUGGUGUAGCGGUGAAAUGCAUAGAUAUCACGCAGAACUCCGAUUGCGAAGGCAGCUUACUAAGCUACAACUGACACUGAAGCACGAAAGCGUGGGGAUCAAACAGGAUUAGAUACCCUAGUAGUCC
This 445-nucleotide ribosomal RNA is filed under the name uncultured bacterium. Its description in RNAcentral is "partial 16S ribosomal RNA". It matches the Rfam family "Bacterial small subunit ribosomal RNA", at positions 354 to 796 of the family's 1533-position model. The record is from RNAcentral.